UCUGUCGUCGCCGGCCCGUGCUCGACUUCUCUUCUCUUCUCCUUCUUCCUCCUCGAGUCCUAGUUUCCCUUCGUCUCCUCCCCUCCCUCUCCCAGACGCCGGUUAUUCUUCCCCUUCCCCGCGAGUACAAAGACUCACCACCUCUCCCCUUCUCCCGAGCUUUGCCCUAGCCUCUCUGCAGUCCGCCGCCAUCGAACGGAGCAACGCUGGCCACCAGAUCUCUCCGGCGUGCCCUAGAUUGGGUCCAUAGUCGUCGAACCCUAAGCCAUCGACAUCGUCUCCUUAUCUUCCUCCGAUCACAGCCGAUGCCGACGCCCUUCCUCUCACGAUCUCUCUCUCUCUCUCUCUCGCACGCACGAAGUCGCCCCCUCUCAGCCGAUCGUCGGUCGCCCGCUCCUGUUGCCAACUAACGGCGACCUUCCCCUUCGCUGGAGACUAGAUCGGUGACGCAGCCGACCCUUUGCUCAGUCGCGUGCCCUAGCCUCCAACCUUGUGCCCUACCCUCCAUAUCCGACGCCGGAAAGGGGCUUGCUACACUGAUCUUCGCCAGGGCAGGCCGCGACCAGCACCACGGCGACCACGAGUUGCCACCAUCGACUCACGACCAAUCGUCGCAGCCACGUCCGAGUCCUAGUUGGUUAGAGUUGAUCGUGAGUGGUUUUUCCAGACAGUUGCUUUCUUCUUCAGUGCUCUGGUAUUGAUCUACUGACGGCAACCUAUUCCUUGUUACCGUUAGGCCUAGCCGUCGGAGAGGGAACAACCAAUUGGGUAAGAUUUGGGGUAUCCGAUUGCUGUAUUCCAAUCUGAUAGUGUUGUCUCUUGGUUUCCAGCAGCUACCCUUCUCCGGCAGUAACAUCCCUGGCUGUGAGUUUGAGGUUGAGGCCGUCAGGAGGUUCCAGUCGCUAGUCCUCACUUCGCGUCGCGUCAGUUUUCUACUCUUUAGUCUUUUGGUUCCUUGUUACAUUUUAUAUAUAUGUGAUGUGUAUGAUUUGUACUCGAGGAAUUUUUAUCGAGCUUUGGGUUUACUACUUAUUUUUCGUUGCGA
Long non-coding RNA from Zingiber officinale, 1045 nucleotides. RefSeq lists it as uncharacterized. The transcript is spliced from 3 exons. The record is from RefSeq and is a predicted model, not a curated record. NCBI's taxonomy places the organism in Eukaryota, Viridiplantae, Streptophyta, Magnoliopsida, Zingiberales, Zingiberaceae.